GAUGAACGCUGGCGGCGUGCCUAAUACAUGCAAGUCGAGCGAACGGACGAGAAGCUUGCUUCUCUGACGUUAGCGGCGGACGGGUGAGUAACACGUGGAUAACCUACCUAUAAGACUGGGAUAACUUCGGGAAACCGGAGCUAAUACCGGAUAAUAUUUUGAACCGCAUGGUUCAAUAGUGAAAGACGGUCUUGCUGUCACUUAUAGAUGGAUCCGCGCUGCAUUAGCUAGUUGGUAAGGUAACGGCUUACCAAGGCAACGAUGCAUAGCCGACCUGAGAGGGUGAUCGGCCACACUGGAACUGAGACACGGUCCAGACUCCUACGGGAGGCAGCAGUAGGGAAUCUUCCGCAAUGGGCGAAAGCCUGACGGAGCAACGCCGCGUGAGUGAUGAAGGUCUUCGGAUCGUAAAACUCUGUUAUUAGGGAAGAACAAAUGUGUAAGUAACUGUGCACGUCUUGACGGUACCUAAUCAGAAAGCCACGGCUAACUACGUG
This 497-nucleotide ribosomal RNA is filed under the name uncultured bacterium. RNAcentral describes it as "partial 16S ribosomal RNA". It matches the Rfam family "Bacterial small subunit ribosomal RNA", at positions 28 to 507 of the family's 1533-position model. The record is from RNAcentral.